Molecule: ribosomal RNA, 430 nt
Filed under: uncultured bacterium
Lineage: Bacteria
Description: bacterial SSU rRNA
Rfam family: Bacterial small subunit ribosomal RNA
Source: RNAcentral
UAGGGAAUAUUGCGCAAUGGGGGAAACCCUGACGCAGCAACGCCGCGUGAGUGAGGAAGGUCUUCGGAUUGUAAAACUCUUUUAUUAGGGAAAAAUUGUCUAGUGGUUAAUACCCAUUAGAUUUGAUGGUACCUAAGGAAUAAGCACCGGCUAACUUCGUGCCAGCAGCCGCGGUAAUACGAAGGGUGCAAGCGUUGUUCGGAAUCAUUGGGCGUAAAGCGAGCGCAGGCGGAUUGAUAAGUCAGGUGUGAAAUCUCGAGGCUCAACCUCGAAACUGCGCCUGAAACUAUUAGUCUAGAAUGUCGGAGGGGAUAGGGGAAUUUCACGUGUAGGGGUAAAAUCCGUAGAGAUGUGAAGGAACACCGGAGGCGAAGGCGCCUAUCUGGACGACUAUUGACGCUGAGGCUCGAAAGCGUGGGGAGCAAACAGG